UUUUUUUUUGUUUUGCUCAUAUUUGUUUUAUUUUUUUGGGAGUACUUUUCUUUAGCUGUUCAAGUACUGUUUCCUUUUAGUUACACUUCCCACAUGAAUUGCUUCUUCUUUCUUCUUAUUUUGCACUUUCUUUUUUUUCCUUGUUUGUUUCAGUGUCACACAUUUUGUUUGAGGUGAUGAAUCGAACCAAAUCGCUUGAUGUGUUUGCUUUUUAGCCAUUUUGUAUUGAAUGUGGUUUAUUGACAAUUUUCAAGGACAAUUUCUUCACCUUGGGCGUCAGUUGAUUUCCCUUUUGAUGUGUAGUUAACUUUUUUCUUUGUACUAGAAAAUUGCAUUUCUGGUUCUGAUCGUGUGUAUUGCUUUUGCGGUAGUCAAUUGUUUGUCAUUUGGUUAACCAUUUGUUUUAGAGGUUGAAUAUAUAUAUAUAUAUAAAUAUAUA
Non-coding RNA from Paramuricea clavata, 439 nucleotides. Lineage: Eukaryota; Metazoa; Cnidaria; Anthozoa; Malacalcyonacea; Plexauridae. The record is from the annotation of a GenBank genome assembly.